CUGCCUAUUCUCUUCCACAGUGGAAAUCAACUCUUUGUGUGAAGGGGAUCAUCUACAGGGGGUGGUUUAGUGGACAGAUCCACAAACUCUCAUAUGUCAUGGUUAGAGACCCAUACCAGAAUCAGUCCAGAGGUCCAUAGACCUUCCGAAUUUUCAGGAGAUGUGGUUGGGAUCUAAACCUGGUGCCUGUGAUAAUUUGUGCUCUGCUUUUUUCCGUGUACUUUUUUUCUCAACUGCCCUUUUUCUGUUUUUCUUUUCUAUAUGUUGCUUUUCUAUCUGUUGUUUCUAUCUGUUGCUUCUAUCUGUUGCUCUGAGCUAAUCUUGUAAGACCAAAAAGGAGAAAUCUGCCCUGGUGAAGAAAAAAAAACAAACCACCCAAACCCAAAGCAGGCUAAAAUGUGUGACUCUCCUCAGGAAACUCUUACAGUGAAGAUUGGCACACUCUUUUCACAUCCACAUUGUGAAACUAAAUCCAUGCUUUCUCCUAGUAUUUGUUCAACCCCAAAAAGGAAGAGGAAAUCAGUACUGGGGAAUCCAUACUUUCAUUUAGUGGUAGUGUAAAGGAAGGUCCUGUAAAGCAGCACGUAAUUUGAAGAAACUAGAUGGAAGUAAUGCAGCAAGUUUUCUUGGGGGAGGUGCUAAGAGUCUCUCCUUCCCCUAAUCUGAGCACCCCUGUGGCUCUUGUUUUGUGCUGUACAGGAGGAGGAGGGAGAGGCUGCUCUAAGGGAGGACAUGGUGAGAAUGAUAAUGAGCCUGCUCAGUCAGACUUGAAUUUGAGAUGAUUGCAAUGAUGACAUCAGAAGCAGAAGGUUCCCACAUUCCCAAAAAAUGUCUGUAAGAUCUACAUACGUGCUCUAGCUGUAUGACUGAGAAACUGUGACAAAUCAGUUGUGGUCUAUCAGAAAAUUCUUAAGAUACCCUUGAGAAUUUCUCUUCUUGACCUUGACAAAGCUGGAAGAACUCUCUUUAGCACAGAGGAUCCCAUUUAUUGAAGAAUGUGCAUGGAAAAUACAUUGCCAGGCUAGCUCCCUUAUUGCAUUCUAAAUCACAAGGUAUUAAAAGCCAUAGUUUUUAAGAUAUGGAUCAUCUCCUCCGAAGUUUUUUUCCCAGUGGAGCCCUAGCUUUACAACAAUCCACAACUACUGCUGCCAUACAGA
Long non-coding RNA from Passer domesticus (house sparrow), 1157 nucleotides. RefSeq lists it as uncharacterized. Lineage: Eukaryota; Metazoa; Chordata; Aves; Passeriformes; Passeridae. The record is from RefSeq and is a predicted model, not a curated record. The transcript has 4 exons.